Molecule: ribosomal RNA, 303 nt
Filed under: uncultured bacterium
Lineage: Bacteria
Description: partial 16S ribosomal RNA
Rfam family: Bacterial small subunit ribosomal RNA
Source: RNAcentral
AGCAGUCGCCGCGGUAAUACGGAGGGUGCAAGCGUUAAUCGGAAUUACUGGGCGUAAAGCGCACGCAGGCGGUCUGACAAGUCAGAUGUGAAAUCCCCGGGCUUAACCUGGGAACUGCAUUUGAAACUGUCAGGCUGGAGUCUUGUAGAGGGGGGUAGAAUUCCAGGUGUAGCGGUGAAAUGCGUAGAGAUCUGGAGGAAUACCGGUGGCGAAGGCGGCCCCCUGGACAAAGACUGACGCUCAGGUGCGAAAGCGUGGGGAGCAAACAGGAUUAGAUAUCCCGGUAGUCCCUGUCUCUUAUAC